UCCCCAGAGGGGAGAGGGCUGAGAGAGAGCCUCAGGCUUCCUGACUCUACACUGCACUCUCAGGUAUUCCGUGUGCUGCUUACUGCUUACUGCUUACAGAAAGAUGGAUCCGGUGCCCUGAAAUCUGACCAAGGCUAAGAGGGCAGACCACUGGCAGUGUGGACAAAACCCUAACCUCCUCCUACCUGGCCCGGCGCCACCCAGGGGGACUCAGCCAGUUCCUGAGCCCACAGGGAUGCACAAGGCCAUUGCCAGGGUCGUCCUCACUGUGGUCCAGCCCCUGGCCAUAGUCCAGGGCACUGUCCUGGGGGACAUCACCCUCCAGGUGGCCCACGCCCUGGUCAUGGCCCAGGGCACUGUCCUGGGGGAAACCACCCUCCAAGGGGCCCAGGGCACUGUCCUGGGGCAAGCCACCCUCCAGGGCCUGGUGGCCCACCCCCUGGCCAUGGCCCAGGGCACUGUGGGAAUCAUCAUGGUCCACAUCACUGAGAAAUCAGAAGAAAAGAAGAUACAGAUGAAAAGUUUGCAUAGAAUCCCCUGCUGGCUUGGCACGGGGUCUAAACCAGACUUGCCCCUUGCAAAUAAAUAGCCUCCUGGAGGCCAUAUUUGUUCUCCUCA
This is a long non-coding RNA of Psammomys obesus (fat sand rat), 618 nucleotides long. RefSeq lists it as uncharacterized. The transcript has 4 exons. The record is from RefSeq and is a predicted model, not a curated record. Lineage: Eukaryota; Metazoa; Chordata; Mammalia; Rodentia; Muridae.